Molecule: ribosomal RNA, 497 nt
Filed under: uncultured bacterium
Lineage: Bacteria
Description: partial 16S ribosomal RNA
Rfam family: Bacterial small subunit ribosomal RNA
Source: RNAcentral
GAUGAACGCUGGCGGCGUGCCUAAUACAUGCAAGUCGAGCGAACGGACGAGAAGCUUGCUUCUCUGAUGUUAGCGGCGGACGGGUGAGUACCACGUGGAUAACCUACCUAUAAGACUGGGAUAACUUCGGGAAACCGGAGCUAAUACCGGAUAAUAUUUUGAACCGCAUGGUUCAAAAGUGAAAGACGGUUUUGCUGUCACUUAUGGAUGGAUCCGCGCUGCAUUAGCUAGUUGGUAAGGUAACGGCUUACCAAGGCAACGAUGCAUAGCCGACCUGAGAGGGUGAUCGGCCACACUGGAACUGAGACACGGUCCAGACUCCUACGGGAGGCAGCAGUAGGGAAUCUUCCGCAAUGGGCGAAAGCCUGACGGAGCAACGCCGCGUGAGUGAUGAAGGUCUUCGGAUCGUAAAACUCUGUUAUUAGGGAAGAACAUAUGUGUAAGUAACUGUGCACAUCUUGACGGUACCUAAUCAGAAAGCCACGGCUAACUACGUG